RNAcentral lists this long non-coding RNA (272 nucleotides) under Ananas comosus (pineapple). Its description in RNAcentral is "long non-coding RNA (ACOM_LNC042982)". Lineage: Eukaryota; Viridiplantae; Streptophyta; Magnoliopsida; Poales; Bromeliaceae. The record is from RNAcentral.
AAAAGUCAGAUUUUUGGUCAGCUCUCGGGUAGCCUUCAGCAGGCAGUGUACCGGUACAGAGUUGAUGGCUGUACCGGUACAGGGUUGAUGGUUGUACCAGUACGCGGGCUCGUGUACCGGUAGACAGGCAGUUUUGAGGCAAACCCGAGGCUCGGGUUUGGGAUUUUCGUGGGAGGUGUACCGAUACGCGGGCCCGUGUACCGGUACACAGUGACAGAUUCUGAAUGGUCGAAACUGCAGGGGUGUAUUUGCAUUGUGACACUUCUAUAUAU